Molecule: transfer RNA, 72 nt
Filed under: Pseudomonadota bacterium
Lineage: Bacteria; Pseudomonadati; Pseudomonadota
Also listed under: 1 other name
Description: tRNA-Glu
Rfam family: tRNA
About the family: Transfer RNA (tRNA) molecules are approximately 80 nucleotides in length. Their secondary structure includes four short double-helical elements and three loops (D, anti-codon, and T loops).
Source: RNAcentral
GGCCCCAUAGUCUAGCGGUUAGGACGGCGCCCUCUCACGGCGCAGUCCCGGGUUCGAUUCCCGGUGGGGUCA